UUGGGAUAUAGCCAAGCGGUAAGGCAACGGUCUCUGACUCCGUCACGCGUAGGUUCGAAUCCUGCUAUCCCAGU
This 74-nucleotide transfer RNA is filed under the name Lactococcus termiticola. Its description in RNAcentral is "tRNA-Gln". It matches the Rfam family "tRNA". Rfam says of the family: Transfer RNA (tRNA) molecules are approximately 80 nucleotides in length. Their secondary structure includes four short double-helical elements and three loops (D, anti-codon, and T loops). Lineage: Bacteria; Bacillati; Bacillota; Bacilli; Lactobacillales; Streptococcaceae. The record is from RNAcentral.